This is a small nucleolar RNA of Phoenix dactylifera (date palm), 103 nucleotides long. RefSeq annotates it as small nucleolar RNA snoR97. Lineage: Eukaryota; Viridiplantae; Streptophyta; Magnoliopsida; Arecales; Arecaceae. The record is from RefSeq and is a predicted model, not a curated record.
CGCUCCCAACUGGCAUGUAGGCUGAAGAACUCAGAAAUUGAGUGUUGUCAUCAGCUUCGUCUCUCAUCAAAUGAGAUUGGAGUUAAAUAACAGCACAACAUUG